This 252-nucleotide ribosomal RNA is filed under the name uncultured bacterium. RNAcentral describes it as "partial 16S ribosomal RNA". It matches the Rfam family "Bacterial small subunit ribosomal RNA", at positions 524 to 775 of the family's 1533-position model. The record is from RNAcentral.
UACGAAGGGUGCAAGCGUUACUCGGAAUUACUGGGCGUAAAGCGUGCGUAGGUGGUUUGUUAAGUCUGAUGUGAAAGCCCUGGGCUCAACCUGGGAAUUGCAUUGGAUACUGGCAGGCUAGAGUGCGGUAGAGGAUGGCGGAAUUCCCGGUGUAGUGGUGGAAUGCGUAGAUAUCGGGAGGAACACCAGUGGCGAAGGCGGUUGCCUGGAGCUUUGCUGACGCUGAGGCGCGAAAGCGUGGGGAGCGAGCGG